GACGAACGCUGGCGGCGUGCUUAACACAUGCAAGUCGAACGGAAAGGCCCUGCUUUUGUGGGGUGCUCGAGUGGCGAACGGGUGUGUAACACGUGAGUAACCUGCCCUUGACUUUGGGAUAACUUCAGGAAACUGGGGCUAAUACCGGAUAGUAGCUCCUGCUGCAUGGUGGGGGUUGGAAAGUUUCGGCGGUUGGGGAUGGACUCGCGGCUUAUCAGCUUGUUGGUGGGGUAGUGGCUUACCAAGGCUUUGACGGGUAGCCGGCCUGAGAGGGUGACCGGCCACAUUGGGACUGGGAUACGGCCCAGACUCCUUCGGGAGGCAGCAGUGGGGAAUAUUGCACAAUGGGCGGAAGCCUGAGACAGCAACGCCGCGUGCGGGAUAACGGCCUUCGGGUUGUAAACCGCUUUCGCCUGUGACGAAGCGUGAGUGACGGUAAUGGGUAAAGAAGCACCGGCUAACUACGUG
This 468-nucleotide ribosomal RNA is filed under the name uncultured bacterium. RNAcentral's name for it is "partial 16S ribosomal RNA". It matches the Rfam family "Bacterial small subunit ribosomal RNA", at positions 28 to 507 of the family's 1533-position model. The record is from RNAcentral.